This 327-nucleotide ribosomal RNA is filed under the name uncultured eukaryote. RNAcentral describes it as "partial 18S ribosomal RNA". It matches the Rfam family "Eukaryotic small subunit ribosomal RNA", at positions 1470 to 1796 of the family's 1831-position model. The record is from RNAcentral.
CCCUUAGAUGUUCUGGGCCGCACACGCGCUACACUGAAGGAGGCAGCGUGUACUCCUGGAUCGAAAGAUUUGGGUAACCCGCGAAUCUCCUUCGUGCUAGGGAUUGAGGUUUGCAAUUAUCCUUCAUGAACGAGGAAUUCCCAGUAAGUGCAAGUCAUAAGCUUGCGCUGACUACGUCCCUGCCCUUUGUACACACCGCCCGUCGCUACUACCGAUUGAAUAAUCCGGUGAGGCCCCCGGACUGUGGCGCUGCAUCUGGUUCGCCAGCCGCGGCGCCGCGGGAAGCUGUCCAAACCUUAUUAUUUAGAGGAAGGAGAAGUCGUAACA